AAAAAGUCCAAGGGUCAAGCUAUCUGGUUUAAGGCAUGGCUUGUUCCAGAAGAUUGAGAGAAAGAUACUAGAACCUGCUUCUCCUCUGCUCUUUUUUAGCUUCCUCCUGAAUCCAAAUGGUGAAAAAAAAUGGCUACCAAUAACCAUAGACCCAUGUUCUCCCACGUUCAAGUCUAGUGGAAGAGAGAGUAUAUUAUCUUUGUAACUCUUAUUUAAAAAAAAAAAAAGUCCUAAGCUUUGUUUUGAUUGGACAAACUGGGCUAUGUGUCCCCACUGAACCUAUGGCUACCCACAGAACCAACUUCUGUCUAGAGGAUUCUGUGCUGGGAUGUGGGUGAAGCUCGGCUCAGUCAAGAGAGUGGUUUCAGUCACCUGCACCGCUUUGCUGCCCAGAACCUCCAGGGAGGGAGCCUGACUCCACCUUGGAGAACUCCAUCAACUCAACUGCCGCUGUUAUUACUUCUGAUGGGAGAAUGAUUGUGGGAACACUGAAAGGUUUUGACCAGACCAUUAAUUCGAUUCUGGAUGAAAGCCAGGAAGGAGUGUUCAGCUCUUCACAGGGAGUAGAACAAGCAGUACUCGGGCUUGACAUUGUAAGAGGUGCAAUGUUACAGUCAUUGGAGAAAUCGAUGAAGAGACAGAUUCUGCACUUGACUUGGGGAACAUUCCAGCAAAACCUCUAACCUCUAACCUGUGUAGCACACACAGGGAAAACUACCUGCAUUGCACAGAAUCUGAAUCUGUACAGAAACCAAUUUUUCUGGGGAAGAUGUUUGGGAUUUUUAGGAUUGUGUAAUUGUGAAUUCUGACUUCACAUUGAUUUACUGGAAUACGUAAAUUAAAAUAUCUCUACGUUUUUAUUUAAAAAAUUAUUUACCUAAAUUUUUUAAAAAAGAGAGAGAGAGAGUGGUUUCCUUUUUUAAAAAAAAAAUCAGUAUCCUGAAGAGGAAGGGAGCAAUGAUGGAUCUUGGGGAUGCAAAAUCAUUAGAUGAUAUGGCAAAUGGGAAUUUAUAGGGAAAUAAGCACUGUAUCUAAUUUAAAGCAAUGAAAAAUGUUCACAGAACAACUUUUACUUCAUGUUUUCAGUCUUUUUUCUUUUGUACUGGGGAUUGAACCCAGAAGCAUUCUACCACUGAGCCACAUCCUCAGCCUGUUUUUGUAUUUUAUUUAGAGACAGGGUCUCACUGAGUUGCUUAGAGCUUUGCCAAGUUGCUGAGGCUGGCUUUGAACUCACGAUCCUCCUGCCUCAGCCUCCCAAGCCACUGGGAUUACAGGCAUGAGCCACAGCACCCAGCUUCAAUCUUCAUUGAUUUUAAAUUUUACAAAUGUAUGGGUAAGAUCUUUUAUAAUUCACUACCUACUUUAGCUCUCUUUCCAAUGCAACUAUGUUUUGAAUGAAUUCUAUCCACUCAAGGAGGGCUCAGUGUUUUAGAAUCAGUUUUGCCUACACUUUGAAGGUUUCCUUUUCUACCAGUCAAUGUCCAGUCAGGAAAACAGAAAGUACUCUAGGUGUUUGAAGCAGAGAAAAUUUAACAUAAGGAAAUGGCCGCACUGGUGAUGGAGUGAGUCACUGAGAAACCAAGCAGGAUGGUGAAGCAACUUGAAGGUGAACAACAGCAGGAAGACACCAGAGGCCCUGUGAUGGGGAACCCUGUGGUAGGCAACAUGAAUGGAGUCAGGUGGUGGAUAGAGGAGGGACUAUGCCAAGGAGCUCAAGGCCAGUGACAUCACUUGAAGUAUGGGGGCAGGGAGGGGGAGAACUAUCCCACAGUCACCCCUUGUGCCUUUGAUCCUCAGCAAGUCCUAGAAGCCCAGGUGCAAAGAAGACUGGGAAAUGUAGUUCCUGAGGGGAAAGAGCAGAGUAGAGAGCCGGUGUGUGUACAAGCCUGUAAUCCCAGCUACUGAGAGGCUGGGGCAGGAGGAGAGCAAGUUCAAAACUGGCCUUGGUGACUUAGCCAGAUCCAGUCUCAAAAUAAAAAAUAAAAAGGGCCGGGGUAUAGCGCAGUGGUAGAGCACUCACCGGGCAUGGACAUGGCCCUGGGUUUGAUCCCCACUAUCACCAACCAAAAAAAAGAAAAAGGCAGAGCAGGCAGAGGAUGAAGAGGCAGUGAAGAGGCAGUCGCUCAGCAUACCUUCCUUCCCACCCCCAUAGGCCAGGAGUUGCCAGUGUUCCAUCUUGUCCAGCUUCUGACCUUCUCCCACUGAGUAAGUCUGCCUCUCAGGGUGGGGUGUGUGUGUGUGUGUGUGUGUGUGUGUGUUUGCUUUUUUUUUUUUUUUUUUGUAGGGGGUUUGGGAUGUCAAUCUAAAAUGAAUGACAGAGCAACUCUCCAAAGAGUGUAUUCAGGAAUCACAAGGAAUCAAUUCAGGAUAUGUGAGCCGCAACAGUGGGAAGUUUUUAUGGGCAGAAAUGAGACACAAGCUGAAACAAAAACCACUGGUUGUGGGAGCUUAUCACAGAAGGUGGCUUUUGUUCAUUGGUGGUACUAUCUUUUGCUAAAAGAGGCUUAACUAGAAAUUUCUGUCUUCGGAAAGACUUUCAUGGCAGUUCCUAUUACAGGCAUACCUGUGUGAGGCCUUCAUGGCCCCCCAGCCCCAUUUUGUUAGAGUUUGACAUAAGUUACUCCAUUUUGGUACCGACAACUUGCACAGAUAUAGCUCAGUGGUAGAGUGCUUGCCUAGGCCCAGGGUUCAAUCCUCAGGGUUAGCACAAAAUGACUGAGCUGGGUGCAGACUACACGGAUCAGCAAGCCUUUAUUCAGCGGUGGAGUCAUGCAUCUGGUGGACACACUUUCUUGCUGGAAAAUGAGCAACUGGCCAAAGGAGGAAUCUGUGCUUAUACACGUUACACUGAGAGGUGACUUAAUUAUUGAAAGAGUGUGUCAGUUUGGACACUCAGGAAACAGGUGAGAAUUUGAAAUUUGUUUUGACUGGGCAAUGUUUUUACUUGAGAAAGAACAGGGGGUCUGGGGGUCAGUAUUCGGUGUAUAUCUCUUUCCUUUCAGGGUCCCAUUGUACUGUCCCCUGAUAAAGAUCUAUCUGGAGAAGGAUCAAUGCUUUGGCUUCCUCCAAGAAAUUGCCACUCUAGGCUUGAUGGGUAUCACCUUCCCAGGGAAUGUCCUGUCACUGGAAGAGUUAUCUUGAGAACAGGAACAGACAGGCCACACUAUUCUGGGGUUUGUCGUUUUCCAUAUUUUACACUCAGUACCACAAAAACAAAAGGAAAAAAAGGAGAUGAUUUUGUGCAGAACUGUAGGUCAGUACCAGUAUUCUGAGCACAUUUAAAGUAGAAUAAGCUAGAAUGUUCUCUAGGUUAAGUGUAAUAAGUGAAUUUUCAACUUAUGAGAUUUUCUAUGUACAAUGGGUUUAUUGGGAUGUGACCUCAACAUACCUCAAGGAGCAUCUAUAUCAUCAUGUGUGUGUGGGGGGGGUGCAGCAGGGGGCCAAGCAUGACAAUGGAAGGAGGUGGAAGAAGAGCCACGCUGACUCUGCAGAGCCUCCUCCAGACAGUCCUUGAACUCACUUCAGCCCUCAUUUGAGUGUGUGUUUGUUUCUGCAGCUAUAAAUUUGUAUCCUGAAACACACAGAUUUGGGUUUGGAAAUGAUCUUCAUGUCUAUCCACAGGGAAAUAGUGAAGUAAAAUGUAGUCAAUCUGGAUAAAAAAAUUUAAGGCAGUAAUUAAUGUUUUUGAAAAGACUCUGAUACCAUGGGGAAAAUGAUCAAGAUAUAACAGCAGGCGGGAGUGGUAGCUCAGUGGCAGAGCACGUGCCUAGCACAUGUGAGGCACUGGGUUUGACUCUCAGCAACACAUAAAAAUAAAUAAUUGAAAUAAAGGUCCAUCAACAACUAAAAAUAUAUACUUAAAAAAUUUUUUUUGUUUUAAUUAGUUAUGCAUGACAGUAGAAUGCACUUAUGUACUUUGAUAUAUCAUACAUAGAUGGGAUAUAAUUUCUCAUUUUUCUAAGUAUACACAUUGUAGAAUCACAUUGAUCAUACAGUCACAUACAUACAUAAAGUACUAACGUCUGUUUCAUUCUACUAUCUAAAAUAUGUAUAUAUUGGGCUAGGGAUGUGGCUCAAGCAGUAUUGCGCUCGCCUGGCAUGCAUGCGGCCCGGAUUCAAUCCUUAGCACCACAUACAAAUGAAAAUGUUGUGUCCGCCGAAAACUAAGAAAAAUAAAUAUUAAAAAUUCUUUCUCUCUCUCCCUCUCUCUCUGUCUCUCUCUCUCUUUAAAAAAAUAAAUAAAAUAAAAUAUGUACAUAUUAAAAAAUAGACUACAGGGCUGGGGAUAUAGCUCAGUUGGUAGAGUACUUGCCUUAUAUGUAUAAGACCCUGGGUUUGGGGCUGGGGAUGUGGCUCAAGCAGUAGCGCGCUCGCCUGGCAUGCGUGCAGCCCGGGUUCGAUCCUCAGCACCACAUACAAAGAUGUUGUGUCCACCCAAAACUAAAAAAAAUAAAUAAA
This 4458-nucleotide long non-coding RNA is filed under the name Marmota monax (woodchuck). Lineage: Eukaryota; Metazoa; Chordata; Mammalia; Rodentia; Sciuridae. The record is from RNAcentral.